This 332-nucleotide ribosomal RNA is filed under the name uncultured bacterium. Its description in RNAcentral is "bacterial SSU rRNA". It matches the Rfam family "Bacterial small subunit ribosomal RNA", at positions 568 to 898 of the family's 1533-position model. The record is from RNAcentral.
CGCGUAGGCCGUCUAGUAAGUCGGAUGUGAAAGCCCUGGGCUCAACCCAGGAAGUGCAUCUGAAACUGCUAGACUUGAGUACGGGAGAGGGAAGUGGAAUUCCUGGUGUAGGGGUGAAAUCCGUAGAUAUCAGGAGGAACACCGGUGGCGAAGGCGACUUCCUGGACCGAUACUGACGCUGAGGCGCGAAAGCGUGGGGAGCAAACAGGAUUAGAUACCCUGGUAGUCCACGCUGUAAACGGUGGGCACUAGGUGUAGCGGGUAUUGACCCCCGCUGUGCCGUAGCUAACGCAUUAAGUGCCCCGCCUGGGGAUUACGGCCGCAAGGUUGAA